Acomys russatus (golden spiny mouse) is the source of this 107-nucleotide small nuclear RNA. Lineage: Eukaryota; Metazoa; Chordata; Mammalia; Rodentia; Muridae. The record is from RefSeq and is a predicted model, not a curated record.
AUGCUCAUGUCAGGAUCAUAUGUACUAAAUAUGGAGUAAAAUGGAGAAAAUUAACAUGACUUCUGCACAGAGUUGGCACACAAAUUCACAAAAUGUUUCAUAUUUUU